RNAcentral lists this long non-coding RNA (275 nucleotides) under Mus musculus (house mouse). RNAcentral describes it as "predicted gene, 35077". Lineage: Eukaryota; Metazoa; Chordata; Mammalia; Rodentia; Muridae. The record is from RNAcentral.
GUUUGCCGUCCCCCUCACAUCCACGAAUAACUGGGUCCCACUGGAUGGGACAAUACAUGCCAUGUAGAAUGUAACACCAUGUUUCUACAGUUGAAAGAAGCGUUUAAAUAAAGAUGAAUAUAAGAAGAGAGAUAGACAAUGCAGAGAGAAAGAGGGACAAAGAACCCGCAAAGAAAGCAGAAAAGCAGGCAAUCUUCUCCUUAGCAUGGGGCAGAACAGUUCUGUUCUUAACAACAGGGCUUAGACUUACUAAAGAGAAUAAAGCUUUUUCUUAC